GAUUCAGCGGCGGACGGGUGAGUAAUGCCUAGGAAUCUGCCUAGUAGUGGGGGACAACGUUUCGAAAGGAACGCUAAUACCGCAUACGUCCUACGGGAGAAAGUGGGGGAUCUUCGGACCUCACGCUAUUAGAUGAGCCUAGGUCGGAUUAGCUAGUUGGUAGGGUAAAGGCCUACCAAGGCGACGAUCCGUAACUGGUCUGAGAGGAUGAUCAGUCACACUGGAACUGAGACACGGUCCAG
This 242-nucleotide ribosomal RNA is filed under the name uncultured bacterium. Its description in RNAcentral is "partial 16S ribosomal RNA". It matches the Rfam family "Bacterial small subunit ribosomal RNA", at positions 89 to 334 of the family's 1533-position model. The record is from RNAcentral.